Molecule: long non-coding RNA, 257 nt
Filed under: Salmo salar (Atlantic salmon)
Lineage: Eukaryota; Metazoa; Chordata; Actinopteri; Salmoniformes; Salmonidae
Description: lncRNA (ENSSSAG00000096625.1)
Source: RNAcentral
CUGAGGCUGACGAGGGGAAGGAGAGAUGCCCUGAGGCUGACGAGGGGAAGGAGAGAUGCCCUGAGGCUGACGAGGGGAAGGAGAGAUCCCUGAGGCUGACGAGGGGCAGGAGACUUCAUCUUCAGAAGGAGAGAUGCCCUGAGGCUGACAAGGGGAAGGAGACAUCAUCUUCAGAAGGAGAGAUGCCCUGAGGCUGACGAGGGGAAGGAGAGAUGCCCUGAGGCUGACGAGGGGAAGGAGAGAUCCCUGAGGCUGAC